CUGCGAGUGAAGCGGGAAAAGCUCAAAUUUAAAAUCUGGCGGUUUCACCGUCCGAGUUGUAAUCUGGAGAAGCGUUUUCCGUGUCGGACCGUGCACAAGUCUCUUGGAACAGAGCGUCAUAGAGGGUGAGAAUCCCGUUUAUGGCACGGACAACCGAUACUUUGUGAUACGUUUUCUAAGAGUCGAGUUGUUUGGGAAUGCAGCUCAAAAUGGGUGGUAAAUUCCAUCUAAAGCUAAAUAUAGGCGAGAGACCGAUAGCGAACAAGUACCGUGAGGGAAAGAUGAAAAGCACUUUGGAAAGAGAGUUAAACAGUACGUGAAAUUGUUGAAAGGGAAACGCUUGAAGUCAGUCGCGUCUUCUAGGACUCAGCCUUGCUUCGGUUAGGUGUACUUCCUGGUUUGACGGGUCAACAUCGAUUUUGAUCGACGGAUAAAGGAGAAGGGAACGUGGCACCUCCGGGUGUGUUAUAGCCCUCUUCGUAUACGUCGAUUGGGAUCGAGGACUGCAGCACGCCCUUGUGGCCGGGGGUUCGCCCUACGUAUCGUGCUUAGGAUGUUGACAUAAUGGCUUUAAGCGACCCGUCUUGAAACACGGACCAAGGAGUCUAACAUGCUCGCGAGUGUUAGGGUGGAAAACCCUUGCGCGUAAUGAAAGUGAAAGUUGGGACCUCUGCGAGGAGGGCACCGACGCCCGGCCCUGAAGUUUUCUGACGGUGCUGCGGUAGAGCGCGUAUGUUGGGACCCGAAAGAUGGUGAACUAUGCCUGAAUAGGGCGAAGCCAGAGGAAACUCUGGUGGAGGCUA
Molecule: ribosomal RNA, 803 nt
Filed under: Trichaptum fuscoviolaceum
Lineage: Eukaryota; Fungi; Basidiomycota; Agaricomycetes; Hymenochaetales; Trichaptaceae
Description: LSU rRNA
Rfam family: Eukaryotic large subunit ribosomal RNA
Source: RNAcentral